GAGGCACCUGCAAGUACGAAGUGCAGGUGCACACACGUCCGCCGUACACAGCCACGGACAUGACAGAAUUAGUGUGUACAAACACACAUGACAUGCAUGACAUACAUGAGGGGCGGAGGCGAUUGGCAUGUUUAAUCUUUACUACUUGAGUACUACUACUAGUGCUAGGCGGCAGUGUAUCGUUCUUUAUAACCAUUGUCUUAGAUUGAGAAGGUUCACAAUGGCAACAAAACAAGAUGACAAUGUCCUGGUUCCCCUCUCGGAGGCGGAGUCUUUUGUGGAGCGCUGCAUGGUGGCUGUGGGGGCCAAGCCCAGCCACGCCAAGGACCUGGCUACGUUGCUGGUGUGCGCUGACUACAGGGGGCACUUCAGUCAUGGCAUGAACAGACUCUCGAUGUAUGUGGAGGACAUCAGGAGUGGGACCAAUGCCAAGGACGGGGAACCGGUGAUACUCAAGGAGAUGGGCGGCACGGCCUGGGUGGACGGGAAGAAUGUGCUGGGACCGGUGGUUGGUCGAUUCUGCACCGAUCUGGCCAUCAAGAAAGCUAAAGAGGCUGGGAUUGGCAUGGUGGUCGCCAAGGGUUCCAACCAUUUUGGAAUUGCUGGCUGGUACACCAUGCGUUGUGCAGAAGCAGGCAUGCUGGGCAUGUCCUUCACAAACACUUCACCCCUCGUUGUGCCUACUAGAGCGAAAAAGCCUGUUUUGGGAACGAAUCCUUUGUCUUUAGCAGCACCAGCAGAAAAAGGGGACAGUUUUGUUCUCGACAUGGCGACAUCCACAGUGGCCCUUGGAAAGAUUGAGCUGAAUAAUAUGAAAGAAAUACCCAUACCCAGUGGCUGGGGAACUGAUUCAAAUGGCCAGUUGACACAAAAUCCAUCAGAGGUACUGCAAGGUGGGGGUUUGAUGGCGCUCGGUGGCCCAGAAGUCUUAGGAGGUUACAAGGGCUAUGGUCUGAGCAUGGGAGUGGAGAUACUGUGUGGAAUCCUUGCUGGCUCAGCGUUUGGACCGUUCGUCAGGCAUUGGACCAAGAAAGAGGAGGAAGCUAAUUUAGGCCAGUGUUUCAUCGCUAUCAACCCAGAAGCCUUUGCUCCUGGUUUCCCAGGCCGCAUGUCAACGUUGAUGAAGGAAUGCAGAACCGCCGAACCAGCAGAAGGUGAGACAGAGGUGCUCGUAGCCGGAGACCCAGAGAGGCAGCACAUGAAAAAAGUAGAUGAGGAAGGUGGAGUCACUUACCACCGCAAUCUUAUUCAGUUGAUGGACAAGUUGGCAAAGGAUCUAACAAUUGAGCCCAUGAAACCCAAGGCGUAAUCUGAGAGAAACCCCUGCCUCCUCAACAUAAUGGGGACCAUUAAUUGGAUGUAUGUGUGAGAUGCGUAUGCGGCUUGGAAAAACUGGCUUGUUACAUGUACAUGUAUAUCACCAUUUUGUGUGGUUUCACCAACCCCCACGCAUGAGAAUCUUCCAGUUUAACCCUAACCGAACUCAACCCAUCAAAGUUCAACAGCAGGUUUUGUUUAAAUCUGUUGAGAUGCGUAGGCCCUACAGUACCCCUAAACUGAUGGUCUUUUACACUGAGGUUGGCAUACCAACAGUGUGUGUGUACAAUUUCCCAUGUGGGUGUUGAUAUUUGCCAGAAUGGGUAUGGUUCUUAGUAAAUUAGGCUGGGGACCGGAGUUAGGGUUAAACAGGAAUUUCUGGGGUUUUGUUGCCCUAAUUUCUGUUUCUGUUUUUUAAAUUUUGAGCCUGUUUUGGGGCUUUUUUUCUUUAUUUCACAUCUUUUUUUUUCUGUUUUUGCACAAGUUUCCUGUGUUUUUUUUCAUUGAAAUUCAUUUUCAUGCCUGAAACCCACAUAUUCCUUCGUAACAUUUCGAUGUGAAAUUCACAUUGGCCAUGGCGUAACAGAUGAAAUAACCAUCCAAAAUGGUGAUGUACUUAGAUAUUUUUUUUUUCUGAGCUGCAUACGUAUCCCGUACCCGCACCAUUUACAACGGUCCCUACAGCUGUUGUGUCCAGUGCUGGUCCGCAGAGCUUUAAAGCCAUGUAGGCCUAAACGCUCUCUUUGAUUUGUUAAGACUGCCACACACACCUUUCCGAUUUUGCCGGCUCACCAGAUCAUUGGCAUAUCGCACAGAGAAAUGUGGGUUUUUAAAAAGUUGGAGAUUCUUCACUUUUAGAUGUACAAUGUAAAUGUAAUAGUAGUUUUCUUUUUGAGUUAAUAACAAACUAAACUGGUGUUCAAGGUACUACAGUACUAUAUAUUAGAUUUAUAUAAAUCAUUGAUCUAUGCAAUCAGUAUUCAUUUACAUCAGUGUUCAUAUCUGUAUUAUUUUAGUGACCUAGAAAUGAACGUUUUGUUUUACCAUGGUAUACAUGAUGGCGAACCAUACAUGAUACAGCAGAAUUAGUUAGAAAUAAAAUGUUCUCUAGGCCUAUGUCUUACUAUAAUAAGUAGAACUGCAAGUUGCUGCGGUUUUGGGUCUUUUAAAGGCAUAUCGAGUGCACAACUAUCUCAUUGAAUUUUGGCUGUUCUGUUUCACAACUUUCCUCUUUAAUGUAGGUAUUUAAUAUGGCUUUUAUAUCAGAACACUGGUGUUGGGGGGGGGGGGCACUUUUCCAAGAUACACGAGUAUAGUGUUAUCAUGUGAGAAAAUUUAUCUUGCCUGAAAAUGAUUAUUUUUUUGAGAUGCAUUUUGAUUUUAUGUUUCGAUUAAAUAAAAAAUAGCAACUAUUUUAUUGGCAUAGUGUAUGCCGAUUUAAAAAAAAAAAACCAGCUAAAUUGUAUCAUAUUCUACAGUACAGUCAGAUUUGUAUUUGUUUUGACAGCUGCAGUAAUUAACAGUUUGAUUUGUUUGUUUGAAUCUAUAAAUUCUUGAUAAAAAUAGUUUGGAUUUGCAUGGAAAAACCAUCAAAUCUAUUAAAAAAAAAAAAAUGCUGACAUUUUUCAUCAUACAUUCCUCUGAUUACAUUGUCAGUGCAUUUAUUUAUGUGGAACAUUUCAAUGACUAAUGCAGUCGAACCCUGAUAAGAAUAAGAGCGCUGUUAAUACAAUAUCCUGCUUCUAACAAGCAA
This 3070-nucleotide unclassified non-coding RNA is filed under the name Patiria miniata (bat star). Its description in RNAcentral is "uncharacterized oxidoreductase YjmC-like, transcript variant X1". Lineage: Eukaryota; Metazoa; Echinodermata; Asteroidea; Valvatida; Asterinidae. The record is from RNAcentral.